CUUGCAAGUAUGUAAUGCUGAUAAAGUCAAAAAUAUCUCAUCAGAUGGUUAAAAAUUUAGUUUUGUUUGCUGUGCUACCAUUCUAAAAUGCACUUUUCUAGUUGGACACGAAAUCCAAUGCCUUAACAUGCUUGAAGUUUGCUUAGAUUUACCCCUUGAAUGUUUUUUCUUACAAUGGAUGCACGUGGCAUAGAAUGUGUCAUUUUCUUCAAUUUUUUCAAAGUCAUCCCAAACUUGUGAUGUUUUACUUCUUUUUGGAAUGUGGAAUUCAUCAUCACCUUUAUUUUGCUCUCCUUCUUUUACAUGUUUCUUCAUAGCAUUCACUUGUGUUCCUUCAUUCUCAACUGGAGUUUUUUCAGUUCCUUGAUCAGUCACAUGUAUUUCUGGAUUUGGAGUUGUGUUGUUGCUAAUAAAAAUAGGACUACCGAGCAAUAUUGGAGAGGAUGAACCUGCAUUUGAUAGCUGAGGGAUAGAAGAAACCUCAGGUGG
This 489-nucleotide long non-coding RNA is filed under the name Coffea arabica (coffee). RNAcentral describes it as "long non-coding RNA (CARA_LNC007331)". Lineage: Eukaryota; Viridiplantae; Streptophyta; Magnoliopsida; Gentianales; Rubiaceae. The record is from RNAcentral.